RNAcentral lists this transfer RNA (73 nucleotides) under Oryctolagus cuniculus (rabbit). It matches the Rfam family "tRNA". Rfam says of the family: Transfer RNA (tRNA) molecules are approximately 80 nucleotides in length. Their secondary structure includes four short double-helical elements and three loops (D, anti-codon, and T loops). Further hydrogen bonds mediate the characteristic L-shaped molecular structure. tRNAs have two regions of fundamental functional importance: the anti-codon, which is responsible for specific mRNA codon recognition, and the 3' end, to which the tRNAs corresponding amino acid is attached (by aminoacyl-tRNA synthetases). tRNAs cope with the degeneracy of the genetic code in two manners: having more than one tRNA (with a specific anti-codon) for a particular amino acid; and 'wobble' base-pairing, i.e. permitting non-standard base-pairing at the 3rd anti-codon position. The record is from Rfam by way of RNAcentral. Lineage: Eukaryota; Metazoa; Chordata; Mammalia; Lagomorpha; Leporidae.
GGCCAUGUGACCUAAUGGAUAAGGUAUCUGAUUCCAGAUCAGAAGACUGAGGGUUCAAAUCCUUACUUAGUUU